Molecule: long non-coding RNA, 556 nt
Organism: Mastomys coucha (southern multimammate mouse)
Lineage: Eukaryota; Metazoa; Chordata; Mammalia; Rodentia; Muridae
Exons: 5
Source: RefSeq, a predicted model, not a curated record
CUCUCUCUCUCUCUCUCUCUCUCUCUCUCUCUCCCAGAACAUAAAAGCUACCAAAGGGUUAAAGAAGUGAUUCCCAAAGCCCAUCAUACUACAGACAGAGCUGAUAGAGUUGCAGAAACAUCGCUGCAGACUAAGGAGGCAGCCGCAGACCUUCUAGAUAUUUUGGACUAGACUAAGCCUGGCAGAAUUGCCUACAGCCUUCUUAUCCUGGUCGGUGUUGGUGUCCCUGUCAGGUUGAGCAGUGGGAAUCUACUUUAUAUGGACUUCAUUGCCCAACAGCAAACCGUGAGCUGGCCCAGCCUGUGAUGUAGAACUGACAGCUUCCUCUCCAGCACCAUGUGUGCCUGCAGGCCACCAUGCUCCCCACCAUGAUGAUAAUGGACUAAAGCUCUGAACUUGACAUUGGGUCCAAGUGAUGGACAUGCUACUUGCUGAUGAUAGAAACUUUAAAACCGUUUUCAAGGACUGGCGAGAUGGCUCAGCGGGUAAGAACACUGACUGCUCAUCAGAAGGUCCUGAAUUUGGAUCCCAGCAACCACAUGGUGGCUCACAACCA